UAACAAUUAUGGUAACACUGAGCCAAAAGACUCAAAAAAGAGAAAAAAAGUUAAGAAAAAGAAAGAAAAUUAUAGAAGGAAAAGAGAUUCAUCCAAUCACUGAUCGUGCUGCAGUGAGAGACACCCCUAAGAGCCAAUAGUAGCGGCGCAUUCAUAAGUCCCGCCCACUGGUCGCGCCGGCGCUGCUUUCAGCGUGAGCAGAUGAGAGAGAGAGAGAGUCAGAGCAGAUCAGCACAGAGCAGACAGUUUCUCCAGAAAAUCCACUCAUCUAACUGGAGAUGUGAUUGAGUGCACUGAAAGCGGAGCUUUUGAAGUCGAUGCGUCAGCCUGAAGAGAGAGACGGAGCGGAUCCCAGAGUGCAUCAGCGCUACCCAAAGAAAAAGGACAGUGAUUCCCAAACCACAGAGAAAUGAAUGACUGUUGAGGAGUAUCAAGACACAACCUUGACAGAGACUCAGAAGAGGCUGGAAAAAAUGGAGGAGAACGAAAAAUUGAGAAAUGAUGACAAAAAAAGCUACCAAAUCUGAUAAAUGAAGUGAAGAUGGCCCUGAAGUCUCAGUGUUCGUCAGCAUCAGUCACAUGCCACAGAGUAAUUACAGAGCCCUUCCAACAGAACAGGUAGGUCUAACAGUAGUGAUCAGGAGCCAGUUUGUGUGGGAGUGCUUUCUUCUGCAGUCAUCUGGGUCUUUCCUCCACUGCGUGAGGCGUGAGGUUCAGCAUCUGUGCAGUGUGUGUGUGUGUGUGUGU
This is a long non-coding RNA of Megalobrama amblycephala (Wuchang bream), 747 nucleotides long. RefSeq lists it as uncharacterized. The transcript is spliced from 5 exons. NCBI's taxonomy places the organism in Eukaryota, Metazoa, Chordata, Actinopteri, Cypriniformes, Xenocyprididae. The record is from RefSeq and is a predicted model, not a curated record.